Bos indicus x Bos taurus (hybrid cattle) is the source of this 390-nucleotide long non-coding RNA. The record is from Ensembl. Lineage: Eukaryota; Metazoa; Chordata; Mammalia; Artiodactyla; Bovidae.
GACAAAAGAUGCACAGAGGUAGCCAUUCCAGGACAGCCUUUGGGCCUAAGGACUCUCUCAUCUUCCCACAUCUCCAGCUGUGGAUUCAUGCUGGGGGCUGGAGGGACAGCUGGUGGAGGAGGAGUCCCUGUGCAGAGAGUGGGGAAGAACAGGAAGGCUGAGUGGUUCCAUAAUCAGAAAUGGCUCAUCUCACCCUCAAUGAAUUGUUGAUGCACCAGAGCACUGCUUUCUUUUCCGAAACUAGGUCUUCAGGAGUGACUCGGAAACCCAUCUCAGAGGGUGAUGGAAGACCUAGGACCUUCUCACUUGUGUGGCAGCAAAGAGAUCCUGCAUUUUACGGACUCAUUGCGUGUGGUCAAUGACCCAUACCUCUAAAAGGUUACAAAGAAG